UCGAACGGUAACGCGGGGCAACCUGGCGACGAGUGGCGAACGGGUGAGUAAUACAUCGGAACGUGUCCAGUAGUGUGGGAUAGCCCGGCGAAAGCCGGAUUAAUACCGCAUACGACCUAUGGGUGAAAGGGGGGGAUCGCAAGACCUCUCGCUAUUGGAGCGGCCGAUGUCAGAUUAGGUAGUUGGUAGGGUAAAAGCCUACCAAGCCUGCGAUCUGUAGCUGGUCUGAGAGGACGAUCAGCCACACUGGGACUGAGACACGGCCCAGACUCCUACGGGAGGCAGCAGUGGGGAAUUUUGGACAAUGGGGGAAACCCUGAUCCAGCCAUGCCGCGUGCGGGAAGAAGGCCUUCGGGUUGUAAACCGCUUUUGUCAGGGAAGAAACGCUCGAGAUUAAUACUUUCGAGCAAUGACGGUACCUGAAGAAUAAGCACCGGCUAACUACGUGCCAGCAGCCGCGGUAAUACGUAGGGUGCAAGCGUUA
Molecule: ribosomal RNA, 484 nt
Filed under: uncultured bacterium
Lineage: Bacteria
Description: bacterial SSU rRNA
Rfam family: Bacterial small subunit ribosomal RNA
Source: RNAcentral